Molecule: unclassified non-coding RNA, 345 nt
Filed under: soil metagenome
Description: partial contains 5.8S ribosomal RNA, internal transcribed spacer 2, and large subunit ribosomal RNA
Rfam family: 5.8S ribosomal RNA (bases 1-120)
Source: RNAcentral
GAUGAAGAACGUAGCGAAAUGCGAUACGUAAUGUGAAUUGCAGAAUUCAGUGAAUCAUCGAGUCUUUGAACGCACAUUGCGCCCCCUGGUAUUCCGGGGGGCAUGCCUGUCCGAGCGUCAUUGCUGCCCUCAAGCACGGCUUGUGUGUUGGGCCUCCGUCCUCCUCCCGGGGGACGGGCCCGAAAGGCAGCGGCGGCACCGCGUCCGGUCCUCGAGCGUAUGGGGCUUCGUCACCCGCUCUUGUAGGCCCGGCCGGCGCUUGCCGACACAUCAAUCUUUUUUCCAGGUUGACCUCGGAUCAGGUAGGGAUACCCGCUGAACUUUAGCAUAUCAAUAAGCGGAGGA